UACGGAGGGUGCGAGCGUUGCUCGGAAUCACUGGGCGUAAAGCGUACGCAGGCUGUCUCGUAAGUCGGGUGUGAAAGCCCGGGGCUCAACCCCGGAAUUGCGCCCGAGACUGCGGGGCUUGAAUGCGGGAGAGGGAAGCGGAAUUCCUGGUGUAGAGGUGAAAUUCGUAGAUAUCUGGAGGAACACCGGUGGCGAAGGCGGCAUCCUGGACCGGUAUUGACACUGAGGCGCGAAAGCCAGGGGAGCAAACGGG
Molecule: ribosomal RNA, 253 nt
Filed under: uncultured bacterium
Lineage: Bacteria
Description: partial 16S ribosomal RNA
Rfam family: Bacterial small subunit ribosomal RNA
Source: RNAcentral